RNAcentral lists this unclassified non-coding RNA (1059 nucleotides) under Hevea brasiliensis (rubber tree). Lineage: Eukaryota; Viridiplantae; Streptophyta; Magnoliopsida; Malpighiales; Euphorbiaceae. The record is from RNAcentral.
AUUUAGUUUAUCUAUAAAUGGAGAUAACAACUGCCGUGUAUCUGUCAAGAAUUUUAGCAAAAUAUCACUCCAAAGCUUCAUCGUUGUGUCACUUCUUGUCAUCUUUCCUUUAUCAUCACUGCCACUAGCACAUGCCAACAUUAGCUCAAAAUUAGAACCCUGACUUUUGUGAAUGUUUGGACUCCUCUUGAUGCUCCUAAUUGUAUCUUCAUGAUAUCCAUCCUCAGGAACUAAUUCUUCAAUUCUUCUUUUCCGCAGAGAAGAAUUUUCAAUAUCUUGUUCAGGAAUUUGGCUAUGUGAAACAUGGAGUUCCAGAUGGCUGUCACUAUCACCAGGUACACUAGUAUUGAAGUUUGGAGACAGUAUAUUUUUCCGAGCCAAGGAUUGUACAUUAUCAUCAUUUAACAAAUUACACAGUUCUUUCUUGGAUGGCCUUUGAGAUUGCUCCUUCUUAACGGGACUCUGAGUCAUCACUUUCUUAAAGGGGCUCUUCAUAAAUGAUGACUCAUUCACAUUUCUGAGAUGAAUGUAGAGGGAAUCUGAGGCAGAAAGAGAAGCUUCAUUCCAUUCCCCAGGAAGCUCGCCUUCAGAACGGAUUGGGUCAGUUGCAAAAGGGAUAUUCCGAUCUGGGCUUCUUGAGAGGAACUUCAGGGCAUUCCUCUCCUUAAAAGGAGUUCCUAUAUUUGGUAAGGUUUCAGAUGCAUUCUGCAGAUUAGGAGGGUAACUUUGCUUGUCAUGCACCUUUUCCACUUGAUCAAUGUCUCCAAAAUGAUUAAUCUCUGUGAGGGAUGAGGUGGACUGCUUUGUGCCUUCAGAAAACCUGGAUUCUGAUUCAUCAGUUGCUGCAGCAGAAUAGUUAUUGCUGGUAACAUUACAUAUUGAAGUCUUAUCUUGUCCUAAGCCAACACAAACAAGCUCAAAGUUCUGAGGGUCCUGAGUGACAGUACCAUGAUUUUCUGUUGAUGAGGAUAGCCUCUGAUCCAACAUUUUUGCUGAAGGAACAAACUUACCAGGUUGUCUGCUUGUUUUCACAUAAAUGCCAUGAUCUAGUUCAAUCUU